AGUGAAUAGAUACCCUGGUAGUCCCAGCUGUAAACGAUGCGCGUUAGGUGUAUCGGUGACCACGAGUCACCGAGGUGCCGAAGGGAAACCGUGAAACGUGCCGCCUGGGAAGUACGGUCGCAAGGCUGAAACUUAAAGGAAUUGGCGGGGGAGCACCACAACAGGUGGAGCCUGCGGUUUAAUCGGACUCAACGCCGGGAAGCUCACCGGAUAAGACAGCUGAAUGAUAGCCGGGUUGAAGACUCUGCUUGACUAGCUGAGAGGAGGUGCAUGGCCGUCGUCAGUUCGUACUGUGAAGCAUCCUGUUAAGUCAGGCAACGAGCGAGACCCACGCCAACAGUUGCCAGCAUGUCCUCCGGGAUGGUGGGGACACUGUUGGGACCGCCUCUGCUAAAGAGGAGGGAGGAAUGGGCAACGGUAGGUCAGCAUGCCCCGAAUUAUCCGGGCUACACGCGGGCUACAAUGGUCAGAACAACGGGUAUCAACACCGAAAGGUGAAGGCAAUCUCCUAAACCUGUCCUUAGUUCGGAUUGUGGG
RNAcentral lists this ribosomal RNA (537 nucleotides) under uncultured bacterium. RNAcentral describes it as "bacterial SSU rRNA". It matches the Rfam family "Archaeal small subunit ribosomal RNA", at positions 725 to 1260 of the family's 1478-position model. The record is from RNAcentral.